AUUCCAUGAUGGGAACAUUUUCUCAGCAGCUCCAUGAACCUCUCCCACGCAUCAUAAAGUGACUCGCCAUCUCUUUGGUUGAAAUUGUUUAUUUCACCUCUAUACCU
Molecule: small nucleolar RNA, 107 nt
Organism: Humulus lupulus (European hop)
Lineage: Eukaryota; Viridiplantae; Streptophyta; Magnoliopsida; Rosales; Cannabaceae
Source: RefSeq, a predicted model, not a curated record